RNAcentral lists this ribosomal RNA (254 nucleotides) under uncultured bacterium. RNAcentral's name for it is "partial 16S ribosomal RNA". It matches the Rfam family "Bacterial small subunit ribosomal RNA", at positions 524 to 776 of the family's 1533-position model. The record is from RNAcentral.
UACGUAGGGUGCAAGCGUUAAUCGGAAUUACUGGGCGUAAAGGGCGCGUAGGCGGCCUCUGCAAGUCGACUGUGAAAUCUCCGGGCUUAACCCGGAACGGUCAGCCGAUACUGCAGGGCUAGAGUGCAGAAGGGGCAACUGGAAUUCUCGGUGUAGCAGUGAAAUGCGUAGAUAUCGAGAGGAACACCUGCGGCGAAGGCGGGUUGCUGGGCUGACACUGACGCUGAAGUGCGAAAGCUAGGGGAGCGAACGGG